Molecule: non-coding RNA, 116 nt
Organism: Pteropus alecto (black flying fox)
Lineage: Eukaryota; Metazoa; Chordata; Mammalia; Chiroptera; Pteropodidae
Source: Rfam
GUCUACAGCCAUGCCACCCUGAACAAGCCCGAUGUCUGAUCUCGGAUACUAAGCAGGGUCGGGCUUGGUUAGUACUUGGAUGGGAGACCACCUAGGAAGACUAGGUGCUGUAGGCA